This 519-nucleotide ribosomal RNA is filed under the name uncultured bacterium. RNAcentral's name for it is "partial 16S ribosomal RNA". It matches the Rfam family "Bacterial small subunit ribosomal RNA", at positions 28 to 507 of the family's 1533-position model. The record is from RNAcentral.
GACGAACGCUGGCGGCGUGCCUAAUACAUGCAAGUCGAGCGAGUCUGCCUUGAAGAUCGGAGUGCUUGCACUCUGUGAAACAAGAUACAGGCUAGCGGCGGACGGGUGAGUAACACGUGGGUAACCUGCCCAAGAGAUCGGGAUAACACCUGGAAACAGAUGCUAAUACCGGAUAACAACAGAUGAUGCCUAUCAACUGUUUAAAAGAUGGUUCUGCUAUCACUCUUGGAUGGACCUGCGGUGCAUUAGCUAGUUGGUAGGGUAACGGCCUACCAAGGCGAUGAUGCAUAGCCGAGUUGAGAGACUGAUCGGCCACAUUGGGACUGAGACACGGCCCAAACGCCUACGGGAGGCAGCAGUAGGGAAUCUUCCACAAUAGACGCAAGUCUGAUGGAGCAACGCCGCGUGAGUGAAGAAGGGUUUCGGCUCGUAAAGCUCUGUUGUUGGUGAAGAAGGACAGGGGUAGUAACUGACCUUUGUUUGACGGUAAUCAAUUAGAAAGUCACGGCUAACUACGUG